UACGAGGGGGGCAAGCGUUGUUCGGAAUUAUUGGGCGUAAAGGGCGCGUAGGCGGCUCCACAAGUCACUUGUGAAAACUCUGGGCUCAACUCAGAGCCUGCAAGCGAAACUGUAGUGCUAGAGUAUGGGAGAGGUGCGUGGAAUUCCGGGUGUAGCGGUGAAAUGCGUAGAUAUCGGGAGGAACACCUGUGGCGAAGGCGGCGCACUGGACCAUAACUGACGCUGAGGCGCGAAAGCGAGGGGAGCAAACAGG
RNAcentral lists this ribosomal RNA (253 nucleotides) under uncultured bacterium. RNAcentral's name for it is "partial 16S ribosomal RNA". It matches the Rfam family "Bacterial small subunit ribosomal RNA", at positions 524 to 776 of the family's 1533-position model. The record is from RNAcentral.